This 370-nucleotide ribosomal RNA is filed under the name uncultured cyanobacterium. RNAcentral's name for it is "bacterial SSU rRNA". It matches the Rfam family "Bacterial small subunit ribosomal RNA", at positions 360 to 745 of the family's 1533-position model. Lineage: Bacteria; Bacillati; Cyanobacteriota. The record is from RNAcentral.
AAUUUUCCGCAAUGGGCGAAAGCCUGACGGAGCAAUACCGCGUGGGGGAAGAAGGUUUUUGGAUUGUAAACCCCUUUUCUCAGGGAAGAAGAACUGACGGUACCUGAGGAAUAAGCAUCGGCUAACUCCGUGCCAGCAGCCGCGGUAAGACGGAGGAUGCAAGCGUUAUCCGGAAUUAUUGGGCGUAAAGCGUCCGCAGGUGGUUUCACAAGUCUGCUGUUAAAGACUGGGGCUUAACUCCAGAGCGGCGGUGGAAACUGUGAGACUAGAGUACGGUAGGGGUUGAGGGAAUUCCCAGUGUAGCGGUGAAAUGCGUAGAUAUUGGGAAGAACACCAGUGGCGAAGGCGCUCAGCUGGGCCGUAACUGACA